This 74-nucleotide transfer RNA is filed under the name Fibrobacter sp. RNAcentral's name for it is "tRNA-Cys". It matches the Rfam family "tRNA". From Rfam's summary of the family: Transfer RNA (tRNA) molecules are approximately 80 nucleotides in length. Their secondary structure includes four short double-helical elements and three loops (D, anti-codon, and T loops). Further hydrogen bonds mediate the characteristic L-shaped molecular structure. tRNAs have two regions of fundamental functional importance: the anti-codon, which is responsible for specific mRNA codon recognition, and the 3' end, to which the tRNAs corresponding amino acid is attached (by aminoacyl-tRNA synthetases). tRNAs cope with the degeneracy of the genetic code in two manners: having more than one tRNA (with a specific anti-codon) for a particular amino acid; and 'wobble' base-pairing, i.e. permitting non-standard base-pairing at the 3rd anti-codon position. Lineage: Bacteria; Pseudomonadati; Fibrobacterota; Fibrobacteria; Fibrobacterales; Fibrobacteraceae. The record is from RNAcentral. RNAcentral also lists the same sequence under 1 other name.
GGCGGCAUAGCCAAGUGGUAAGGCAGAAGUCUGCAAAACUUUCAUCCCCAGUUCAAAUCUGGGUGCCGCCUCCA